Long non-coding RNA from Dicentrarchus labrax (European seabass), 1662 nucleotides. RefSeq lists it as uncharacterized. The transcript has 4 exons. NCBI's taxonomy places the organism in Eukaryota, Metazoa, Chordata, Actinopteri, Moronidae. The record is from RefSeq and is a predicted model, not a curated record.
AAGACAACAUCAGUGAGAACGGUGAGAGCAGAUUAAGAUCAAACUCAUCAUUUUUUCCAAUUGUUAUUACUGCUGAUUUAUAUGACAGGAAACCAGCGAUGGAUAAGACAGGAUUGGUGAUCUUGCUGCUUCUAGAGCCCACCAACAAGAACAUUGCAGUUAUGGUUUCUAUGACCUGGUCGGCAGCACAGAGUUACUGCAGGGAGAGAUACACAGACUUGGCAAGCAUGAGAACCCAGCAAGAGAAGGAGGCCAUCGUCAGUGUGGUUGAUCAGUCAUCCUGGUGGGUUGGUUUGUCCACAGAGACUUGGACGUGGUCUGACCAGAGUAACGCUUCGUUCAGACUGUGGAACAAUGGCGAGCCCACUGCUGGUGGAGGAAAAUUCCCUUCAUCUGUUCAGUUCCCAUAAGGAACCUGUUCAAGGUUGUACUGAAGGCUGAAGGACCUGUGGACCUGAAUGACCCCCCAGUGCCUGAAGCUCUUUUGAACCAUAUAGAGAAACACAUGAGGGACCAUGGGAUAUAUCAGAAGUCCAUGCUGGGAUGGACGAAGCAACCGAAUGGAAAAAUCUUUAAUAAGAAAGAGGACGAAGCAUAACUGUGAAUGUUGUCUGUUUUUUUUUUAUAUAACAACACAGUCCCUGCCUUAACCAUGAAGACCUAAACAUAUAUUUAUUAAAACAUUUAAAUCUCACCAAUUAUGUACUUUUUGUGUGUGUUUAAGUGAAGCUUUAAUUACUGUUUGCCUUACUUUUGUUAUAUUGGUACUUUGUAACAGUUCUGUUGUGCCAACCUUAUUAACUCUGUUUUACAACAAGAAUUGUCAAAUUAUAUUUCAUCACUAUGAAUAACACUGUGUAAUCUUCAUGUGAAUUAGCAGUUAAGAAUACUAAGAUAAGUGUGUUUUUGCUUAUAGUCUUAAUAAGUGCAUGAGGGGGAAGUAGGUUAUUUAUAAAGAAGGAUGGUAGAUCACAGUCUAAAUGGUAUCACAGUUGAUUACUGUGACACCAUUUAGGCUGUGGCCCAGGGCCACGAAUACACUCUAGUGAACACAGAGGUGGUUACUCAUUAUAAUUGGCCUUUAAAACCAAAACUUCUAUUUUUUCUCUUUAUUUGUCUUUGGUUGUUAAGUUUAAUGUGGCAUAAAUACACAACCAGGAGUCGUGCACAGUAAACAGAGGAAGAAGAAACUAGAGAAAGACUGUGAAUGAGUUAAAAAUCUUUGUCAACAUGUGGGGAGUUUGGAUUUGCUGUACUUGCUCCUGGAUAUGCUUAUGUCAAACAGGCGUUAUGGAGAUUCAACUGGAAGAACAUUUGGGAAUCUUUGGAAUGCAUUGACUAUUUAAAGCAGGCUUAAGUGUGGACGAUGUGCAUGGAUACAUAUAAUACAUAUUUAUGAUGUCAAUGUUACAAUGCGGGCAAAAACAAUACAGAACCAGAUCCACAUAUUCUGGUACAACUUUGUCCUGUGGCAUUCUUAAUAGAGAAUUUAUGGUUAAUUCACCAUUUACUAAUGCUUUAUAUAUAUAUAUAUCAGUUAUAAGACAUUAAUAAGUACUUUUGGAUUACAAAAUAUUAAAGAUCCCCUCCAGAGAUGUAUUAAAAUAGUCUGAUUAGAACAUUUAUGUGUGCCUGAUGUGUUCUUUCAACAAAAACAGUAUC